CGUGUAGGCGGUAUCAUAAGUCAGAUGUGAAAGUUCGGGGCUUAACCCCGGAAUUGCAUUUGAAACUGUAAUACUUGAGUACUGGAGAGGUAAGUGGAAUUCCUAGUGUAGCGGUGAAAUGCGUAGAUAUUAGGAGGAACACCAGUGGCGAAGGCGACUUACUGGACAGUGACUGACGCUCAUAUGCGAAAGCGUGGGGAUCAAACAGGAUUAGAUACCCCAGUA
RNAcentral lists this ribosomal RNA (225 nucleotides) under uncultured Alkalibacter sp. Its description in RNAcentral is "partial 16S ribosomal RNA". It matches the Rfam family "Bacterial small subunit ribosomal RNA", at positions 568 to 792 of the family's 1533-position model. Lineage: Bacteria; Bacillati; Bacillota; Clostridia; Eubacteriales; Eubacteriaceae. The record is from RNAcentral.